RNAcentral lists this ribosomal RNA (720 nucleotides) under Streptomyces xiamenensis. RNAcentral's name for it is "bacterial SSU rRNA". It matches the Rfam family "Bacterial small subunit ribosomal RNA", at positions 127 to 860 of the family's 1533-position model. The record is from RNAcentral. Lineage: Bacteria; Bacillati; Actinomycetota; Actinomycetes; Kitasatosporales; Streptomycetaceae.
UGCCCUGCACUCUGGGAUAAGCCCGGGAAACUGGGUCUAAUACCGGAUACGACACUCCGAGGCAUCUUGGGGUGUGGAAAGUUCCGGCGGUGCAGGAUGAGCCCGCGGCCUAUCAGCUUGUUGGUGGGGUAAUGGCCUACCAAGGCGACGACGGGUAGCCGGCCUGAGAGGGUGACCGGCCACACUGGGACUGAGACACGGCCCAGACUCCUACGGGAGGCAGCAGUGGGGAAUAUUGCACAAUGGGCGAAAGCCUGAUGCAGCGACGCCGCGUGAGGGAUGACGGCCUUCGGGUUGUAAACCUCUUUCAGCAGGGAAGAAGCGAAAGUGACGGUACCUGCAGAAGAAGCACCGGCUAACUACGUGCCAGCAGCCGCGGUAAUACGUAGGGUGCGAGCGUUGUCCGGAAUUAUUGGGCGUAAAGAGCUCGUAGGCGGUUUGUCGCGUCGAUUGUGAAAGCCCGGGGCUUAACCCUGGGUCUGCAGUCGAUACGGGCAGGCUAGAGUUCGGCAGGGGAGACUGGAAUUCCUGGUGUAGCGGUGAAAUGCGCAGAUAUCAGGAGGAACACCGGUGGCGAAGGCGGGUCUCUGGGCCGAUACUGACGCUGAGGAGCGAAAGCGUGGGGAGCGAACAGGAUUAGAUACCCUGGUAGUCCACGCCGUAACGGUGGGCACUAGGUGUGGGCAACAUUCCACGUUGUCCGUGCCGCAGCUAACGCAU